RNAcentral lists this ribosomal RNA (498 nucleotides) under uncultured bacterium. Its description in RNAcentral is "bacterial SSU rRNA". It matches the Rfam family "Bacterial small subunit ribosomal RNA", at positions 12 to 507 of the family's 1533-position model. The record is from RNAcentral.
UUUGAUCCUGGCUCAGAUUGAACGCUGGCGGAAUGCUUUACACAUGCAAGUCGAACGGUAGAGGGGGCAACCCUUGAGAGUGGCGAACGGGUGAGUAAUAUAUCGGAACGUGCCCAGUCGUGGGGGAUAACGUAGCGAAAGUUACGCUAAUACCGCAUACGAUCUAAGGAUGAAAGCGGGGGGACUCGCAAGAGCCUCGCGCGAUUGGAGCGGCCGAUAUCAGAUUAGGUAGUUGGUGGGGUAAAGGCUCACCAAGCCAACGAUCUGUAGCUGGUCUGAGAGGACGACCAGCCACACUGGAACUGAGACACGGUCCAGACUCCUACGGGAGGCAGCAGUGGGGAAUUUUGGACAAUGGACGCAAGUCUGAUCCAGCCAUUCCGCGUGCAGGAUGAAGGCCCUCGGGUUGUAAACUGCUUUUGUACGGAACGAAAAGGUUUCUAUUAAUACUAGGAGCUCAUGACGGUACCGUAAGAAUAAGCACCGGCUAACUACGUG